CCCCUGCAAACCUGAGUAGUGAACCCCGUAUUCCUUCAUCUGUAUCAGUUGACGUACGGUUUGAAGUUCGUCACUGAUGACAGAAUAAAAAUAUGGAAGCUAUCGUUUUUUGUGGUCAAAGGUAAUCUGGAUGUAAGCAAUCACACUUCACCAAAGUCCCAGUGUUGUCUCCACUGGAGUAUUGUGAUGACCUUUUCCAAAUCUGACCACCUGAUUAUCAAUAAACUCCACAAGUGCUUGCUUGCAAAUGAGGGUCUGCUUGGAGCAGAUAAGGCACACCCAGCCAAGGACUGAGGGCACCGAAUCAACCGGGAGUAAAAAAAAAGGAAGAGGAAAAGCCCCUAAAGGAAACAACAAGACAUCCAGCUCCCACGCCG
Molecule: long non-coding RNA, 377 nt
Organism: Gambusia affinis (western mosquitofish)
Lineage: Eukaryota; Metazoa; Chordata; Actinopteri; Cyprinodontiformes; Poeciliidae
Exons: 4
Source: RefSeq, a predicted model, not a curated record